Molecule: ribosomal RNA, 641 nt
Filed under: Salmonella enterica
Lineage: Bacteria; Pseudomonadati; Pseudomonadota; Gammaproteobacteria; Enterobacterales; Enterobacteriaceae
Description: bacterial SSU rRNA
Rfam family: Bacterial small subunit ribosomal RNA
Source: RNAcentral
AAAUUGAAGAGUUUGAUCAUGGCUCAGAUUGAACGCUGGCGGCAGGCCUAACACAUGCAAGUCGAACGGUAACAGGAAGCAGCUUGCUGCUUCGCUGACGAGUGGCGGACGGGUGAGUAAUGUCUGGGAAACUGCCUGAUGGAGGGGGAUAACUACUGGAAACGGUGGCUAAUACCGCAUAACGUCGCAAGACCAAAGAGGGGGACCUUCGGGCCUCUUGCCAUCAGAUGUGCCCAGAUGGGAUUAGCUUGUUGGUGAGGUAACGGCUCACCAAGGCGACGAUCCCUAGCUGGUCUGAGAGGAUGACCAGCCACACUGGAACUGAGACACGGUCCAGACUCCUACGGGAGGCAGCAGUGGGGAAUAUUGCACAAUGGGCGCAAGCCUGAUGCAGCCAUGCCGCGUGUAUGAAGAAGGCCUUCGGGUUGUAAAGUACUUUCAGCGGGGAGGAAGGUGUUGCGGUUAAUAACCGCAGCAAUUGACGUUACCCGCAGAAGAAGCACCGGCUAACUCCGUGCCAGCAGCCGCGGUAAUACGGAGGGUGCAAGCGUUAAUCGGAAUUACUGGGCGUAAAGCGCACGCAGGCGGUCUGUCAAGUCGGAUGUGAAAUCCCCGGGCUCAACCUGGGAACUGCAUUCGAA